Molecule: long non-coding RNA, 2543 nt
Organism: Lolium perenne
Lineage: Eukaryota; Viridiplantae; Streptophyta; Magnoliopsida; Poales; Poaceae
Source: RefSeq, a predicted model, not a curated record
CGUUUCCUGUGACACUACAUUGAAAAGAAAAGCUAACACAAACCUUUUUAUCUUGGUGCAGGUUUUCUUCUUCUUGGAUUGGGUGAAAUACCUGUUAAAUGAUGUCAAAUUAUUUAAGUCAUUCCUGACAAGCCUUCACACCUUGCUCUUUGGAUUGGUACUGCGUCAGGUCACAUAUUCCCUUAGAAGAGGUAACAUGUGACAAGAUUUUACUUCAACCUGGUGAAAUGUGAAACAUUUCUUAAAUGUUGUAAGUAGUGUCACAUGAAACAUUGUAUGUGCUAAAGUGUCAUUUAAAUUUGAUCAUCAGGGACAUUAUGUUGUUGGAUUCACAGAGUGAUAAGAUUGUGACUGAAAGAUUUGUUUAAUUUGGUUUUUAUUCCUUUUCAAACAUAAUUAUCGAUAUGAGAGAUUUGUGCUGGUGUUCGUCUUUCUCAAAAAGAGAACCUGACCUGAAACCAUAUAUUAUUUUCUACUUCGUAUUUUGUUAUGCUAUAUCCAUGAUUGAGUUAUAGGGAAACCAAUAUAGCGAAAAGGAAAAAACAUGGGAUGCAUAGUUGAAAAUUAUUUACUGACACCACUGGCAAAUAACUAUCAUGUACAUUUUGUCAAAAAUAGGCAUGCAUGAUUAAUGUCUCUAUAUCUAUAAAUUAUUUGAAAACUUUACAUGUACAUAACAAUAUGUACUUAAGAGGUGAGAAACAACUUAUUCAUAAGAGGUGAAUGACAUGUACUCUCCUAAUUAGUAUGGAACCAUUAAAAUAUUUAUGCGCCCGUAGCAACGCACGGGCAUUUUACUAGUAAGAAUAAAAAUUACGGAUAUGCAGGUCCGCGUCAGCCCACUACCACGUCAGUUAUGACCCAUCGCAUCUGCUUCUUCCCCGCGAUGCACCCCACCCCAAUCACACUGGUAAAAAAAGGCAAUCCAAUUCUUCAUCUAUUCAAGUCAAGCGGCGCCUCGACCUUCCCUUGCAACUACCCAGGCGGCGACGGAAGAACGGAGCACCACAAGCCGCAGUGGGACGGCGGCGUGAGAUUGAAAUCAUUCGGCUGGCCGCCGGCGUACACUGUACAAAUAAGGUGCACGGGUGGACUUCGGUGGGAUAUUACUGGUUUUCUCUUGCGGAAGGACGGACUGCAGAAGCGAUUGAACGGGGUUGUGACCCGGCCACGACCCAGGUCGACGCACCGUCGUUCCCGACCCUCGAUCUGGAUCGAUCGGCCUUGGGUCGUCGAACGCGCCAUCGAUCCCGUUUCCGGCUACGACGGCCGUGCAUCCCAACACCGCCCGCCCGACCGUCUCCGUGAAGCUGUUGUGCCGCCGUCUUCGCUAGCCAGAUGCAGCCGCCUCCCGAUUGAUUUUCCUAUCUUUGCAGUUUGGAUCAGGGAGUAGGCCUCACGUACGUAUGUGGGAUUGAGGGCCAGGAGGUUUUAUUUUCAGAAAAUUGUCGGGCAAGCUGUAAUAAAAGGGGAAUAUGAGUGGUUCUUAUGGUAUGCUCGUAACUGAAUUGAACAUGACUGUGGUCUAGUCCAUUAGAUGCUUAUAACUUGACCCUUGUGUCAUUCGGAGUUUACUAAUUGUCAGUAUUUCAUGGAUAUAUAAGGCAUUACUGGGCACACGGCCUAGAGGAACUCAAGUGAACAACAAAGCUAAUAGGUACACUCUCUCUCCCUCUCGGGUUAAUUCCAGAUUAGUUAUAGUGUAUGCAUCUUCAAGUAGUUGCUGCACCAGCAAAUGAUGAUAUCAUUACUCUCUGAUUUGUAUUGUAUUAAUUAGCAGAAUGUCCAUAAAAUCUUUUGCAUGGCCCUGCUUGUCUCCAAAUGCACCUACAACAUCCCAUUUUGUAGUUUUAUCCAUGAUCUGCUAGAAUCUGAAUUUCAUACCAGAAACAGUGAACAUGUCACCUCCAUUCUCUUGUUGACUACAAAGCUGUGUAAGUGUGAUCCUUUUUUUGUCCUUAACUAUAAAAUAUUUUGGUGAAAAUAGAGGGAACCUAAUUGUCAUAGCCAAGCGACUAGCAUGUCUAUGCUUAUUCUUAUGAGAAUUUAUCUACCUCGAGAGAAAACAAGGAUACUCCACUUUCCACUUCCACAAACUUUCACCAUAUGAUGAUUUAACAUUAUACACAUUUUUCUGAACCAACGAUGAUAUAUUCCUUCCUCUUUGAGCAGAGCCUUUCAACUAAAGUUGUGAGGCAUACAAUAUCAUUCCUAAUAUGGUGUGUAAUGAUUAAUGAACUUAUUUAAUUUGAUAUAUGUACAUGUUUUUCUAGCUAUUGGUUCUUUUGGUUAAAAUUUAUGAAUAUCUUACGUAUAUUUCUAGAAACUUAUAUCUUUUGUUAAAUAGCUCUUGGGAGUUUCAUCACAACGCAUUCUAAAUGCAACAGACAAUUGAAGUACAACGGAUUUGACUUUCUAUGCGUUAUGAAUGUCCAUUAGCUAAUAUGUGAUGCAAGUGGUGGCUAUAGAACUUCAAAGAUAGUUACACAGAUAUAAGAUUUAUAAUUUCGUGGGUUCAUGCUUUGAAAAUUUGGCCGCAUGAG